Molecule: long non-coding RNA, 1502 nt
Organism: Zingiber officinale
Lineage: Eukaryota; Viridiplantae; Streptophyta; Magnoliopsida; Zingiberales; Zingiberaceae
Exons: 6
Source: RefSeq, a predicted model, not a curated record
ACUGCUAGCUAAUGCCAUUAGGAAGAAACAGUUCUAUAAGGAAACUGUCAGAUUUGAAAGAGUCAUACCGUCCAAUCUCAACGGAUUAUAUUCUACAGCUAUGAAUCUUUGGAAAACUUAAAAAAUACUUGAUUGUUUAGAUUAAUAUAGCAAGUUAUACAUUCAGGGAUGGAGUGAGCGAGGGUCAAUUCCAUCAAGUUCUACUAUAUGAAUUAGAUGCGAUCAGAAAAACCUGUGCCUCUCUAGAACCAAACUAUCAACCUCCAGUGACUUUUAUGGUGGUCCAAAAAUGGCAUCACACUAGACUGUUUGCUAACAAUCACGGUGACCACCAAUUUGUUGAUAAGAGUGGAAACAUAUUGUCUGGUUAGUUUAGUUGAUAGCAUGAAUGCAUCAUUUUUAGGACAAUUCUAUUAUAUUUUUUUCAAACCUUGUUUUUUCAAUGGAGCUUUCCAUCCUUGAAAUUCCAAGGACUGUUGUCAAUUCUAAGAUAUGUCAUCCUACUGAAUUUGACUUCUACUUGCAGCCAUGCAACAUUCAAGUAACUCAUCUCACAACUAAUACCUUUUGUAUGAUGUACUUAUUCAGGUUGUUGAUCUCCUAGUACCUUAUCAAAAGGGUAGAAAGAUUGGACUUUUAUUUCUUGUUUUUAUUUUUGGUAGAAAGUAAUAAAGGAAACAAUGCCUUCUAGUUUUAAGUAUGAAAUUUAUUUCUUGUUUUUAUUUUUGAUUUCUCUUGCAUGGCAUAAUGUUUUCUGCUUGAUUUUUCUAUUGGAGCAGCUCAUGCUAUCCGAUGAUUUUGGAAGAAGAGAAACAAAAUACCAAAAUGAAAUCUUUCAUUUUAAAACUUCAUUCUUCUUGCAUUUAUAGUCUCCAGCUUUUCUUGGUGUUUAGAACAAAAGUGAAAAACUAGUUCAGCAAUCCUAUCAUUGGAUUAAGGUAUUAUUAAUUUCCCCACUGUUAAAAACUGUUAAAAGACAACGGAUUUUAUCCUUCCACAAUCAAGAUUCAUUCUCUGGUUGACAAUCAGAAACUGAGAUUGAAGCAGCAGAUAUUGAAUACUAUUUUAGCAUGGAUAAUCUCUGUAAGGACAUUUUUCUUCGUGGCAAGAUGGAUGAUCAAGGUUGGGUUCCUAUCUCAUUGAUUGCUACCUUUAACAUGGUCAAAAGGGUGACAACGAGCAUAGCGGUGAUAUUGAAUGCUCUAAGAGAUUCGACAGAACUUGAAAUACAUAGAAAAUUAGAAGACGAGAGGAUUGGAUGAGAUGGUUACUGCCCUCGAUGGAAAAUCCAAAUGGUCAUGGUUCCACGCCUCACUUGACAUUGAACCAUGAUGAUUCAGUCAUUCACCCCAUGCAGACUCUCAGAUUAGAGGAAUCUUCGAGCCAGGCUACCAUGAGUCGUACUCAAACUGAGGUAGCACUUGAUAAGGGAUCAGCAUCCUGUAGCUGCAGUAGCCAGCAGGGUAGAGAUCCAGCUCAACUAGAAGAACUUUGUUGCAGCA